Aethalodelphis obliquidens (Pacific white-sided dolphin) is the source of this 2180-nucleotide long non-coding RNA. RefSeq lists it as uncharacterized. The record is from RefSeq and is a predicted model, not a curated record. Lineage: Eukaryota; Metazoa; Chordata; Mammalia; Artiodactyla; Delphinidae. The transcript is spliced from 3 exons.
GGGCGGAGUCCGCGAGAGUUUGCCCCGGAGCUCGGGGAAGUUUCCCGCCGAAGCUCCGCUCCCGUGAAAGCAGUCCCUGCCGGCACCCUCAGCUCCCCUAGCCGCUCGCCAGGUUGCUUCACGGAACGAGCACUUAAGAGGAAAAGAAAGGAUCGAAACUCUGUGGAAAACCAAACUAUGUGGUCUUCAGAAAUGAGAGAUGCAGCCAUCUGAAAUGGUCAUGAACCCCAAACAAGUCUUCCUCUCAGUGCUGAUAUUUGGAGUAGCAGGGCUACUCCUCUUCAUGUAUUUGCAAGUCUGGAUUGAAGAACAACACACAGCACUCCAGGCACAUGUGCUCCCCCGGUGUCUCUCUGCAGAUCCCCUCUCCUCCUACUUCACAGAAAAGAGAUGAACAUCAGAGAAAACUCUCGGAACUUCCUUCUAACAACAUACAGACGGAUCAACUUCCACCCCGUCUCCGGCUCUCCUCUCAGCUUCUUCCACCUCCCCCUCUCCUCCCAUUCAUGUUCUGUCUCCCGAAGGGUCUAUUUCCUCAGUGAUCUUGCCCAUUUCUUCUCUUCUCCUAUAUUUUCAUCUUUUCUCUGUCACUUCCUUGUAUCUGUAUCUAUGCAUGAGCUAUACAUGGUCCCCACAGACCUCACUGAUCUAAAAAUAACCUAACUCACAUAUCCAGUUCUUUCGACCAUAUUUUUCCUCCUCCCCCAAUUUAUCCCUUUCCUCCCCUUGCUCUUCUUAAAAGACUUUUGUGUAAUCACUGUCUCCACGUUGUUAUUCUCUACUCACCCUGCCCUUACAUCGUGCCGUCUGCCCCCGUCAACCACUAGUCCUGUUUCCCCCAGCAUCCUGCCUGCCCUCAAAUCUAGCAUGUCCUUCCCAGCCCCCAUCUUAGAUCGGUGCAGUUUUAGAUACUAGUGGCCCUUCAAUGCCACCUUCCCUUGGUGUCCCUGAUGGCAGACUCUUCCACUUCUCCUACCCUUCUCUGGCUGUAUUCUCAGUUCCUUCUUCAGACUACUGUGUUGCUUUUUCCAUGCCUUAGAUGUUGGUAUUCUUCCAAGUUCUACCUUUGGGUUUCUUUUCUUCUCAUCCUCAUGCUCUCCCAGUGUAAUGCCAUCUGUAGAGCCCUGAUGCCUCACACCAUCUGCUUCCAGGGCAUCUGUCCUUGACUGCCCCACAGAUCCCUUCAACUCAGGAAGUACAAUGCUAACCUCAUCGUUUUUCUCCAAAGCCUGUCCCGUUUAGCUGUUGAGGCAGUGGCCCCACCUAAAGACCUUGCUGCCAUCUGUGAUGCCUCCAUUUUCCUUUUCCCUCCUGCAUAAAUCUCUUCUUGGCCUCCAGUGGUUCUUGGGACAAACCUAGACUCCAUAAUUUGACUGUCAAGUCCCUUUAUUAUAAGACCUCUACUUAACUCUCCAGGCUCGUUUCUGUCCACACUGGUCAUGUUGCCCUUACCCUUCAGCUGUGCUAAAUUUCGCCUGGUUCCUUGAACCAGUCAUCGGGCCUCUCAACCCUAGGCCUCCGCAGGUGCCUCUAGAAGCAUUUCCUGUGUUGCCCCCCCCGCCGUCAUGUGCUCCCUGUACUCGCUAUGAAAGCACUGAUGAUGGUGAAUUUGGAGUGUUUGUUAAAAUCACGCCCAUCACCUUCAACCCACCAGGUCAUCAGAUUUGUGAGGGUGGCACUAAACAGGCCAUUUCACGGUCGUGUCCCCUGCACCUGGCACAUGCUUCCCUUGGCCGUGACAGGUAGGAUUUUGCCAUAUUUUUUGCAAAUACUGAGUUAGAAAUCUUUGGAAAAAAUACAGGUAUAUGCCUUCUUGCUUAGGUACAUAUAUGUCAGCCUCCCAACUUGCAUAACCAUGAAAAUGAUGUUUUCUCGCUCUGUGAGAAUCCGUCAUCUGACUGCAUGGAAAGAACAGUGUUCUCUAUCAUGGAGACAUACUUCUGUAAAACUUCUUUUUUAUCAUGCAGUAUUUUAGUGAUAAUCUAGUUAAAUUUUAGUGUAUUGUAAUUUUUUGGUUUUUCUCAACGAUAAAAAAAUUUACUUUAUAGGUUAGUUAUUAAAUUUCUAUCCUUUUACUCAGAACUCUUACUUCUCUUAUUUUCUCAAUCUUACCCUUCUGAAAUUUCUUUGUUUUCCAGAACAUUUUAAACUCACUUGGGGGGUACUUCCCUGGUGGUCCA